GACGAACGCUGGCGGCGUGCUUAACACAUGCAAGUCGAACGGAAAGGCCCUGCUUUUGUGGGGUGCUCGAGUGGCGAACGGGUGAGUAACACGUGAGUAACCUGCCCUUGACUUUGUGAUAACUUCAGGAAACUGGGGCUAAUACCGGGUAGGAGCUCCUGCUGCAUGUGGGGGGUUGGAGAGUUUCGGCGGUUGGGGAUUGACUCGAGGCUUAUGAGCUGGUUGGUGGGGUAGUGGCUUACCAAGUCUUUGACGGGUAGCCGGCCUUGGAGGGUUACCGGCCACCUUGGGCCUGAGGUACGGACCAGACUGCUACGGGAGGCAGCAGUGGGGAAUAUUGCACAAUGGGCGGAAGCCUGAUGCAGCAACGCUGCGUACGGGAUGACGGCCUUCGGGUUGUAAACCGCUUUCGCCUGUGACGAAGCGUGAGUGACGGUAAUGGGUAAAGAAGCACCGGCUAACUACGUG
This 468-nucleotide ribosomal RNA is filed under the name uncultured bacterium. RNAcentral's name for it is "partial 16S ribosomal RNA". It matches the Rfam family "Bacterial small subunit ribosomal RNA", at positions 28 to 507 of the family's 1533-position model. The record is from RNAcentral.